This 392-nucleotide ribosomal RNA is filed under the name uncultured bacterium. RNAcentral's name for it is "partial 16S ribosomal RNA". It matches the Rfam family "Bacterial small subunit ribosomal RNA", at positions 523 to 918 of the family's 1533-position model. The record is from RNAcentral.
AUACGGAGGAUCCGAGCGUUAUCCGGAUUUAUUGGGUUUAAAGGGUGCGCAGGCGGCCAUUUAAGUCAGCGGUUAAAUCGUGGGGCUCAACCCCAUUCUGCCGUUGAUACUGGGUGGCUUGAUUGCGGUCGAGGUUGGCGGAAUUCGUUGUGUAGCGGGGAAAUGCAUAGAUAUGACGAAGAACACCGAUUGCGUAGGCAGCUGACCAGACUGCAAAUGACGCUCAUGCACGAAAGUGCGGGGAUCGAACAGGAUUAGAUACCCUGGUAGUCCGCACAGUAAACGAUGAAUACUUGUUUUCGGCGAUAUAAUGUCGGAGGCAAAGCGAAAGCGAUAAGUAUUCCACCUGGGGAGUACGCCGGCAACGGUGAAACUCAAAGGAAUUGACGGGG